Molecule: ribosomal RNA, 595 nt
Filed under: Salmonella enterica subsp. enterica serovar Enteritidis
Lineage: Bacteria; Pseudomonadati; Pseudomonadota; Gammaproteobacteria; Enterobacterales; Enterobacteriaceae
Description: partial 23S ribosomal RNA
Rfam family: Bacterial large subunit ribosomal RNA
Source: RNAcentral
GGGUCAGCGACUUAUAUUCUGUAGCAAGGUUAACCGAAUAGGGGAGCCGGAGGGAAACCGAGUCUUAACCGGGCGUUAAGUUGCAGGGUAUAGACCCGAAACCCGGUGAUCUAGCCAUGGGCAGGUUGAAGGUUGGGUAACACUAACUGGAGGACCGAACCGACUAAUGUUGAAAAAUUAGCGGAUGACCUGUGGCUGGGGGUGAAAGGCCAAUCAAACCGGGAGAUAGCUGGUUCUCCCCGAAAGCUAUUUAGGUAGCGCCUCGUGAAUUCAUCUCCGGGGGUAGAGCACUGUUUCGGCUAGGGGGCCAUCCCGGCUUACCAACCCGAUGCAAACUGCGAAUACCGGAGAAUGUUAUCACGGGAGACACACGGCGGGUGCUAACGUCCGUCGUGAAGAGGGAAACAACCCAGACCGCCAGCUAAGGUCCCAAAGUCAUGGUUAAGUGGGAAACGAUGUGGGAAGGCCCAGACAGCCAGGAUGUUGGCUUAGAAGCAGCCAUCAUUUAAAGAAAGCGUAAUAGCUCACUGGUCGAGUCGGCCUGCGCGGAAGAUGUAACGGGGCUAAACCAUGCACCGAAGCUGCGGCAGCGACA